CCUACGGGAGGCAGCAGUCGGGAAUAUUGCGCAAUGGAGGAAACUCUGACGCAGUGACGCCGCGUAUAGGAAGAAGGUUUUCGGAUUGUAAACUAUUGUCCACAGGGAAGAAAAAAGACUGUACCUGUGAAGAAAGCUCCGGCUAACUACGUGCCAGCAGCCGCGGUAAUACGUAGGGGGCAAGCGUUAUCCGGAUUUACUGGGUGUAAAGGGGGCGCAGACGGCAGCGCAAGCCAGGAGUGAAAGCCCGGGGCCCAACCCCGGGACUGCUCUUGGAACUGCGCGGCUGGAGUGCCGGAGGGGCG
RNAcentral lists this ribosomal RNA (305 nucleotides) under uncultured bacterium. Its description in RNAcentral is "bacterial SSU rRNA". It matches the Rfam family "Bacterial small subunit ribosomal RNA", at positions 338 to 659 of the family's 1533-position model. The record is from RNAcentral.